RNAcentral lists this ribosomal RNA (485 nucleotides) under uncultured bacterium. RNAcentral's name for it is "bacterial SSU rRNA". It matches the Rfam family "Bacterial small subunit ribosomal RNA", at positions 31 to 507 of the family's 1533-position model. The record is from RNAcentral.
AGGAACGCUGGCGGCGUGGAUUAGGCAUGCAAGUCGAACGGUAUCAUCCUUUCGGGGGUGAGAGAGUGGCGAACUGGUGAGUAACACGUAGGUUAUCUACCUCAAGACGGGGACAACCCAGGGAAACUUGGGCUAAUACCGGAUGUGAGCAACUUUUAGUUGUUUGAAAGGUGGCGUAAGCUGUCGCUUGGGGAUGAGCCUGCGUCCUAUUAGUUAGUUGGUGAGGUAACGGCUCACCUAGGCAAUGAUAGGUAGGCGGCCUUAACGGGUGGUCGCCCACACUGGGAUUGAGAUACGGCCCAGACUCCUACGGGAGGCAGCAGUCGAGAAUAGUCUACAAUGGUCGGAAGACUGAUAGUGCGACGCCGCGUGAACGAUGAAUCCCUUCGGGGUGUAAAGUUCUUUUAUAUGUGAGCAGUGCUUCUUAUAUUAACAGUAUGGGGAGAGAGAUAUUAGCAUAUGAAUAAGCAACGGCUAACUCCGUG